Molecule: transfer RNA, 65 nt
Filed under: Epiverta chelonia
Lineage: Eukaryota; Metazoa; Arthropoda; Insecta; Coleoptera; Coccinellidae
Description: tRNA-Leu
Source: RNAcentral
UCUAAUAUGGCAGAAUAGUGCACUGGACUUAAACCCCAAUUAUAAAGAAUUUACUUUUUUUAGAA